GCCCCGUACGAGGCCAGCCACAACGAGCAGACCAAGGUGUCGGUGGAGAACGGGGACGCCCCCAGCCCGGAGAAGAACGGGCCCCUGCCCUCGGAGCUGGAGGCGCUGAGCGCGGCGCUGUGUCCC
Ficedula albicollis (Collared flycatcher) is the source of this 126-nucleotide long non-coding RNA. RefSeq lists it as uncharacterized. The record is from RefSeq and is a predicted model, not a curated record. The transcript is spliced from 3 exons. NCBI's taxonomy places the organism in Eukaryota, Metazoa, Chordata, Aves, Passeriformes, Muscicapidae.